AUUGAACGCUGGCGGCAUGCUUUACACAUGCAAGUCGAACGGCAGCGCGGGCUUCGGCCUGGCGGCGAGUGGCGAACGGGUGAGUAAUACAUCGGAACGUGCCCAGUAGUGGGGGAUAGCUCGGCGAAAGCCGGAUUAAUACCGCAUACGACCUGAGGGUGAAAGCGGGGGAUCUUCGGGCCUCGCGCUAUUGGAGCGGCCGAUGGCAGUUUAGCUAGUUGGUGGGGUAAAGGCCUACCAAGGCGACGAUCUGUAGCUGGUCUGAGAGGACGACCAGCCACACUGGGACUGAGCCACGGCCCAGACUCCUACGGGAGGCAGCAGUGGGGAAUUUUGGACAAUGGGCGAAAGCCUGAUCCAGCAAGGCCGCGUGUGUGAUGAAGGCCUUCGGGUUGUAAAGCACUUUUGGCGGGAACGAAAAGGACUGUGCCAAUACCACGGUUCGAUGACGGUACCCGCAGAAUAAGCACCGGCUAACUACGUG
This 484-nucleotide ribosomal RNA is filed under the name uncultured bacterium. RNAcentral's name for it is "partial 16S ribosomal RNA". It matches the Rfam family "Bacterial small subunit ribosomal RNA", at positions 29 to 507 of the family's 1533-position model. The record is from RNAcentral.